Molecule: ribosomal RNA, 251 nt
Filed under: uncultured Streptococcus sp.
Lineage: Bacteria; Bacillati; Bacillota; Bacilli; Lactobacillales; Streptococcaceae
Description: partial 16S ribosomal RNA
Rfam family: Bacterial small subunit ribosomal RNA
Source: RNAcentral
GAGUUGCGAACGGGUGAGUAACGCGUAGGUAACCUGCCUGGUAGCGGGGGAUAACUAUUGGAAACGAUAGCUAAUACCGCAUAACAGUAGAUAUUGCAUGAUAUCUGCUUGAAAGGUGCAAUUGCAUCACUACCAGAUGGACCUGCGUUGUAUUAGCUAGUUGGUGAGGUAACGGCUCACCAAGGCGACGAUACAUAGCCGACCUGAGAGGGUGAUCGGCCACACUGGGACUGAGACACGGCCCAGACUCC